Molecule: ribosomal RNA, 497 nt
Filed under: uncultured bacterium
Lineage: Bacteria
Description: partial 16S ribosomal RNA
Rfam family: Bacterial small subunit ribosomal RNA
Source: RNAcentral
GAUGAACGCUGGCGGCGUGCCUAAUACAUGCAAGUCGAGCGAACGGACGAGAAGCUUGCUUCUCUGAUGUUAGCGGCGGACGGGUGAGUAACACGUGGAUAACCUACCUAUAAGACUGGGAUAACUUCGGGAAACCGGAGCUAAUACCGGAUAAUAUUUUGAACCGCAUGGUUCAAAAGUGAGAGACGGUCUUGCUGUCACUUAUAGAUGGAUCCGCGCUGCAUUAGCUAGUUGGUAAGGUAACGGCUUACCAAGGCAACGAUGCAUAGCCGACCUGAGAGGGUGAUCGGCCACACUGGAACUGAGACACGGUCCAGACUCCUACGGGAGGCAGCAGUAGGGAAUCUUCUGCAAUGGGCGAAAGCCUGACGGAGCAACGCCGCGUGAGUGAUGAAGGUCUUCGGAUCGUAAAACUCUGUUAUUAGGGAAGAACAUAUGUGUAAGUAACUGUGCACAUCUUGACGGUACCUAAUCAGAAAGCCACGGCUAACUACGUG